CACCUGCUCCUGCUGGCCAUCCCAGGGCUCCGGGCGGCCGUGACCCUGCUGGAGUCCGGGGGGGACCUCCAGCCCCCCGGGGGGUCCCUGCGCCUCCUCUGCCGAGGCUCCGGGUUCAGUUUUGGGAGUUUUGACAUGUUAUGGGUCCGCCAGAGGCCCGGGCAGGCGCUGGAAUACAUCGCAGGGAUCAACACUGGUGGAGGCACCGCCUACGCGCCGUCGGUGCAGGGCUGGUUCACGAUCUCCAGGGACAACGGGCAGAGCUCGGUGACGCUGACCAUGAACAACCUCAAGGACGAGGAUUCCGGAUCCUAUUUCUGUGCCAAGGGUGCUGGUGCUGGUGGUGCUUAUGCUAAUUAUGUUGACACAGCCGGUGGCGGCCCCACCCUAAAUUCCAUGCCUUCAAACAUGUCAAUAUUCUAA
Non-coding RNA from Passer domesticus (house sparrow), 423 nucleotides. The record is from the annotation of a RefSeq genome assembly. Lineage: Eukaryota; Metazoa; Chordata; Aves; Passeriformes; Passeridae.